UGCUUACACAUGCAAGUCGAACGGUAACAGGGUGCUUGCACCGCUGACGAGUGGCGAACGGGUGAGUAAUGCAUCGGAAUGUACCGUGUAAUGGGGGAUAGCUCGGCGAAAGCCGGAUUAAUACCGCAUACGCCCUGAGGGGGAAAGUGGGGGACCGUAAGGCCUCACGUUAUACGAGCAGCCGAUGUCUGAUUAGCUAGUUGGUGGGGUAAAGGCUCACCAAGGCUUCGAUCAGUAGCGGGUCUGAGAGGAUGAUCCGCCACACUGGGACUGAGACACGGCCCAGACUCCUACGGGAGGCAGCAGUGGGGAAUUUUGGACAAUGGGCGCAAGCCUGAUCCAGCCAUGCCGCGUGUCUGAAGAAGGCCUUCGGGUUGUAAAGGACUUUUGUCCGGGAGCAAAUCCCAGUGGUUAAUACCUACUGGGGCUGAGAGUACCGGAAGAAUAAGCACCGGCUAACUACGUGCCAGCAGCCGCGGUAAUACGUAGGGUGCAAGCGUUAAUCGGAAUUACUGGGCGUAAAGCGUGCGCAGGCGGUUGUGCAAGUCUGAUGUGAAAGCCCCGGGCUUAACCUGGGAACGGCAUUGGAGACUGCAUGACUAGAGUGCGUCAGAGGGGGGUAGAAUUCCGCGUGUAGCAGUGAAAUGCGUAGAGAUGCGGAGGAAUACNCGAUGGCGAAGGCAGCNCCCUGGGAUGACACUGACGCUCAUGCACGAAAGCGUGGGGAGCAAACAGGAUUAGAUANNCUGGUAGUCCACGCCCUAAACGAUGUCAACUAGCUGUUGGGGGUUUGAAUCCUUGGUAGCGAAGCUAACGCGAGAAGUUGACCGCCUGGGGAGUACGGCCGCAAGGUUAAAACUCA
This 862-nucleotide ribosomal RNA is filed under the name uncultured Chromobacterium sp. Its description in RNAcentral is "bacterial SSU rRNA". It matches the Rfam family "Bacterial small subunit ribosomal RNA", at positions 45 to 903 of the family's 1533-position model. The record is from RNAcentral. Lineage: Bacteria; Pseudomonadati; Pseudomonadota; Betaproteobacteria; Neisseriales; Chromobacteriaceae.